AGAGUUUGAUCCUGGCUCAGAACGAACGCUGGCGGCGUGCUUAACACAUGCAAGUCGAGCGAGAAAGGGGGGGCAACCCCCUGAGUAGAGCGGCGCACGGGUGAGUAACGCGUGGGUAACCUACCCCCAGGCGGGGGAUAACUACUCGAAAGGGUGGCUAAUACCGCAUGAGACCACGGGAUCUUCGGAUCUUGAGGCUAAAGAUCGCACCGGCUUGCCGGUGCUGUCACCAGGGGAUGGGCCCGCGUCCGAUUAGCUAGUUGGCGAGGUAAUGGCUCACCAAGGCUACGAUCGGUAGCUGGUCUGAGAGGAUGAUCAGCCACACUGGAACUGAAACACGGUCCAGACUCCUACGGGAGGCAGCAGUGAGGAAUAUUGCGCAAUGGGGGAAACCCUGACGCAGCAACGCCGCGUGGGUGAAGAAGGCCUUCGGGUCGUAAAGCCCUUUCGGACGGGACGAACGCUUCGCGGUGAAAGCCGCGAAGUCUGACGGUACCGUAGGAAGAAGCACCGGCUAACUCCGUGCCAGCAGCCGCGGUAAUACGGAGGGUGCGAGCGUUGUUCGGAAUUACUGGGCGUAAAGCGCGUGUAGGCGGCCUUGCAAGUCAGGCGUGAAAGCCCUCGGCUUAACCGGGGAAGUGCGUCUGAAACUGCUUGGCUUGAGUACGGGAGAGGGAGGCGGAAUUCCCAGUGUAGAGGUGAAAUUCGUAGAUAUUGGGAGGAACACCGGUGGCGAAAGCGGCCUCCUGGACCGAUACUGACGCUGAGACGCGAAAGCGUGGGGAGCAAACAGGAUUAGAUACCCUGGUAGUCCACGCGGUAAACGAUGGGCACUAGGUGUGGGGGGUAUCCACUCCUCCCGUGCCGAAGCUAACGCAUUAAGUGCCCCGCCUGGGAGUACGGCCGCAAGUUAAAACUCAAGAAUUGACGGGGCCCGCACAAGCGGUGGAGCAUGUGGUUUAAUUU
Molecule: ribosomal RNA, 966 nt
Filed under: uncultured Desulfuromonadaceae bacterium
Lineage: Bacteria; Pseudomonadati; Thermodesulfobacteriota; Desulfuromonadia; Desulfuromonadales; Desulfuromonadaceae
Description: bacterial SSU rRNA
Rfam family: Bacterial small subunit ribosomal RNA
Source: RNAcentral